Molecule: long non-coding RNA, 566 nt
Filed under: Calidris pugnax (ruff)
Lineage: Eukaryota; Metazoa; Chordata; Aves; Charadriiformes; Scolopacidae
Description: lncRNA (ENSCPUG00000016789.1)
Source: RNAcentral
UCCUGUCUCAGUCUGGCUCUGUCUCCUGUUUUUCCUUCUUUUCUGCUACCUCCGUUUGAUUUAUCAAUCGCUUUUCAUUUCAGGUCUGCUGUUUUCUGGUUGGAGUAUUUUUAAUAGUCUGCAUUAUUAAAUGGAAAGCAAACUACAGGUGUGGCCAUUAAUUCUGCUGGGGAAAGGACAGCCUGCCUUCUUCAAGCAUCCAAGACCUGCUGCAGAAUAUGUGAGAACAUGUAUUUCUGUGGAAUGGUACCAGCACAGGAUGAUGCUGUGAGUGGCACUGAGCAGCGUGUGGUCCUCGGCUGGGUGAUGUCUUCUGCCCACAGCUUGUGGCCAUACCCAAGCAGGGCACGGACCGCAGCUGGCAGCCCCUUUAUGAAGCCCAGUGGUUCCAGCUCAUCCACCAUCUAUUUUGGCACCUGAGGAUCUUCCCAGCCCAUGCAAAGUGCACAGCUUUGUGGUUGGUAAGUUUUGUGCAGCAGCAGAGUGUCUUACUGGGACUAUUGUGUGGGGCAAGAUGGGUUCACCAUGUGUUGGUAGCUGUGGCAUCAGGCAAAUUUUUUGUCUAU